GGAAAAAAAAAAAAAAAAAACACUAAGACUAUCUAGCCAGAAAUAUUUUAAAUGAUCCUGAAUAGAUGAAAAACUAUAAAUCUUUUACCAGCCUUAAAAACAAAUAGUUGCUACUAAAAGGUGCUAGAAUCAUUAACUAUGAGUGAUAUAGGAAAACGACAAAGCAUGAAAAAGGAAAGUAAAAGAAAUCAGUUCAUUAUCAUAAAGUAAAACCAUCUCAUCUCCUAUGGUUCUCUUCACAAUAUUAUCAAGACAAUAGCCAGAUCUCAACGCCUGUUAUGAAAUUCCUAUAACAUUACAUCCUAUUCACUUUUCUCCAUACAAAUUGAAGAAAUCCAAACAAUUACCCCUAGCAUAGUACCAAAUUGAAACAAAACAACAAAACCCUUGACCCAACACAGAACCCAUAUCUAUCCCCUGACAAGAAACAAACCUGCCUGUACACGACUGGAACAAGAGGACCACAUUAGAAUCACUCCAAGUCCAAACAAAACCACCACCCAAAACACAGGUAUUUCUUUCAACAAAGCAUUUAACAAGAGAAGUUCUUUCUCAUUAAUGCAAGAAUAUAUACAAAACAAAUUCUCAUUCAACAGCUUCUGUUUACGUAUCGGGUCCUCAAAACAAAAGAAAUAGGGUAAACCUAAAAAUUUUCAUUUCGAAGAUUACAAUUACAAAUUAUAUUCACAAUUGACAAUAAAAGCAGUUGAGCACAACGCAAAAACCAAGUUUGCUCAACGAACCUUAAUUGAUUCGCUCACGGACUCACACCGCUCUCCGAUCCUCAAGAACCUCGGAGGCGGGUAAGGAAAGCACCGUGACAUUUUUCCGGUUAUCUGCCCUGGUUUUUACAAAGAAAACGGUUCAAGAAACUUUUCUUCUUCCUCCUCUUCUUCAAUAAAAGUACCCCUAAGGUUUUCUAAUCAGGUCGCGGCCAAGAAACCCGCGUUCUAGGGUUUUUUAAGAGCGAAAAACUUUUAACUCCAAGCCUCUCGCCCUUCAAUGUUUG
RNAcentral lists this unclassified non-coding RNA (1009 nucleotides) under Hevea brasiliensis (rubber tree). Lineage: Eukaryota; Viridiplantae; Streptophyta; Magnoliopsida; Malpighiales; Euphorbiaceae. The record is from RNAcentral.